This 10914-nucleotide long non-coding RNA is filed under the name Homo sapiens (human). RNAcentral describes it as "HSALNT0165320". Lineage: Eukaryota; Metazoa; Chordata; Mammalia; Primates; Hominidae. The record is from RNAcentral.
AUUUUUUUUGUAUUUUUAGUAGAGACGGGGUUUCACCGUGUUAGCCAGGAUGGGGGAUCACAUUUUAAUAAGUAGGUACUCAGGGCUGGGGUGUACCUGUUGCUGCCUGACCACUGCUGGUGUGUGUGGGUAUAAGGUGACAAAACCUCCUACCCCUGUGAGGUUGUUUCAAGGAUUAAAUGAGUUGAGAUGGGUAAGCAUCUAACAAAGAUCCAGAUUAUUUAGUAUGCAUCCCCUGAAUUAUUGCUAACAUAAUUUUAAUGAUUGGGGAAUUUUAUCUGUGGCUGCCAGUCCCUACGAGAGAGCUGCCUGGGUCACAUGUCAGAUAGCUCAAGCUUUGAAUCACUGAAACGAAACGGUCCACUUCCCUGUCCCUUUAGGAACAAGGCUUCGAGGUCUGUGGCAAGCCUCAGCAGGCAUUUGGAGUUCAAGGUCUGUUCUCUUUCUGUGCCAUAGAGGUGGGGAGACAAGGUAGGGUGUUGCUUCUUGCCUGGAGCGCAGAUGCUACCAGAAACCAACACAACCAAAGUUGCCCGGGAGCCCCCAGAAGCAGCAGAGUGGCCAUCAACUGCCAAGGGGCCAGGGUAGGCCACAGAGGCCUGGGGCCCAGGAGGGAUGGUCUGUGGGGAGAAAGGGGAUUAUUGUGAACAUCAACGCUGGGGAUAAUGUGCCCUGAAGACAGCAGCAUAUCACGUUUGGACGGUUGGUGGACCCCAUCUGGUCCCACUCAUAAGGAGAACAGAGGCCCUGGGGUGUGCUGGGACUUGCCUGAGGCCUCAGACCGGGACUGGGUGCUCCUCCGCACCUCCUAUGAGGGAGGGUGUCCGUGUCUGUGAGGACAGCUCAGCAGGGCUGGGAACCUGGGGGCAGUGCUGGGGGACAUGUGUGAGACUAGCGUGUGUGGGCCUUGCUCGGCUUGCCCUGGUGCCCUGAGAAAAACCUGGUAUUUGAAAAUACACAUGGACUGCUGGAAGGUCAGGAAAUCCAGGGUUUUGUUCUGAGGCAGUGGAAGUGUUACCGUGAGCCUGUGUUGGCCUCUCUCCUCACUCCACCUGCAGCCAAUUCAGCCACACUGCCUUUGCAUGGAACCCAGGGUUGCAGGCCGCGUGUGUAGAUGCUGAUUUAGGCCCAAGCACUCAGCUGUCAGCAGGAAGGACCAUAGUGUUUUCUUCUAGUUUUAGAUAUGCACUCGUUCUGUGUUUUAAAGUCACAGCUGUGAGCCAAUAUGGGAAGAAGUGAAGUGGCCUCUAGGAGGGACUGAGCACCCUGUCCUUGGAGGUAUGCAAGCCCAGGCUACACCCUUCCUGUCUGGGAUGAUAUGGCUGGGGGUGGGCUUUGUGCUGCGUGGACCAUGGCAAGCCUUUCCAUCUCUGAGAGGUAGUGGUCCUUCCCGUGCCUUCUGUUAAAGAUAAUUUUUUAAAAAAAGGCAUAACUCAUAUAUAUUACAUGUACACAUGUCAAAGAUUUUAUUUAACUCAGUAAUUGAGAGUGCUGCUAAGAUUAACAGCCAGUUCAAAAGAGAAAUCACAAUGAACCAUAAAUCUGUAUGGAGUAAAGGAAAGUUGAAACUGGCUGGGGUUUUUUUUUUUUUUUUUUUUUUUGAGGAGAAAGGUCAAUUGAAUCUUAUUCGUAUAAUAUGCACAUCCAUAGACAAGAAUUAUUUUGCAUUAACUCUACAACUUAGUUGUAAAAAUAGCUCAAAGGCAGUGAAAGACUAGAAUCAGAUAAUUGGAAGGGUGCACCCUAAGCAAUGCAUAGUUCUAUUUUCUUUCUUUUUUUUUUUGAGACAGAGUUUCCCUCUUGUCACACAGGCUGGAGCGCAGUGGUGCAAUCUUGGCUCAUUGCAACCUCUGCCUCCCGGGUUCAAGUGAUUCUCCUGACUCAGCCUCCUGAGUAGCUGGGAUUACAGGCGCAUGCCACCACAACUGGCUAAUUUUUGUAUUUUUAGUAGAUACAGGGUUUCACUGUGUUGGCCAGGUUGGUCUCAUACUCCUGACCUCAGGUGAUCCACCCGCCUCGGCCUCCCAAAAUGUUGGGAUUACAGGCGUCAGCCACCACGCCCGGCCCCAAUGCAUAGUUUUUUACUGAAGACAACCAGAAUCUCUGUUGCUUAUUCCAAAUUUCCUUCCACCACUUGUCCAUCCAGCAGAGCCACUUUUAAAAUAGGACACAGGCAGAAAUUUAAAGGAGUCAAUAUCUCAUGGUGAAAAGUGAAUCCUGAGGGUUAGAGCAUCCACCAGGUGCCCUAGGUAAGGGCCAGCCACUCUGGGAGGCAGCCCGGGGCACUCACUGUCCUCUCAGUAGUAAAUGAAAUCACUCAGGCCAUGUCUGCUACCCAGAGAGCCUGAGUGUCCUCAAAUGCUUGUUCUGCCUCUCCAUCCACUCCUGCAGACACCUCAGUGGCUGCAUCCCAAACCGCUGAACUUUGCUUCUCUUUCUCCAACCCCCAAUUCCACCCACAUCCAAAACUGCUCUGCCCCCUAUUCCCAUCUCAGCUGAGGGUACUAUCAUCCACCCUGUGGCCACAUCCAGGAAUGUGUGUAUCACCUGGGCUCUGAGGAUGACAUCAGCUCUUCUAAGUCAACAGAAUGUCGGGUCUGUUCUAAAAGUCUCAUCUGACAAGGAGAUCUUUAAGGCUUUACUCCCUUAAAGGCUUUACUCCCAUCAUGAUGGGAUAACCAUCAUGAUGGAUUUCAGUGUCAUUCUGUCUUUUUCUUCGGAAUGAUUCCUGGGACUCGCCUUGUUUGCAACAUGUGCAUUGAAAUAUCUUUUCAACAUAACUUUGUUCUUAAUUGUGUUUACUUCCUUUCUCUGUGAAUCUCAGUGAUUCCUGGAAGCUGUGGUUGGUGGGGGAUGGGGUGGGAGGACUUUGGUAGUAUAAAAGAGUACCUGCAAUGAAUGUUCUAAGAAACUGGAGUGUUGGGGUCCUCCAGCCCUUGGCUGGUAAACUCUCCACUCCUUCCUCUUUGCAACACAAUUCUCAUAACUGGCAAAGGUGUGCAUGUAAAAUUUGUGACUGUAGUCUGAGGUUUUUUUUCCCUGUACAAUUCCGCCUUCCCCCCUGUAAGCCUGUACCAGGAGAGGUCUCAGCUGCCUUGGAGGCGGUGAGACACGUGGGUGCUCACUGUGGCCCUCAAGGGUGAGGCUGGCACUGGGGCAUCUGGGGCCAGAAGUCCUCCUUUAGUCCCAAGUCUCUGCCACUCAAGUGCAUCAGUGAGAGGUCCUCAUAGAAAAUCUACUGUGGGCACAAAGCUGCCAGGCUGAUGGGGGUGGGGAGCAAACGAACACCCUUUUCCCCUUUUACACCAGAGGAAAGAGACUUAGACUGAGGAACUUGCCUGCUGCCAGACAGCUGGGAGGUGGUAGAACCGGGCUUACAGCCCAGGGUUUCCACUCUAGGAACUCUUCUCCCUUCCUCUGAUGACACUAACUCGCAGGCCAUGAUCAAUGAGCAACGAUGUAGGCAGGCACUGACGAGGCACAGCAGGAAGGCAGCUCAGUGCCCAUGACGGCCAGGAACUGGGUACCAUUUCCUCAGCAAAAUGGGAUAGUAACUCCCACACUGCAGCUACGCACUUGGGCAGUGGUUCACAAGGCCAGCAGCCACAACAUCACCCCAGACCAGCAGCAGCUGCAGCAUUACCCCCAGCACUUGUUAAAAGAUGCAAAUUCAGGCCAGGUGUGGUGGCUCGUGCCUGUAAUCCCAGUACUUUGGGAAGCCAAGGCGGGUGGGUCACCUGAGGUCAGGAGUUCGAGACCAGCCUGGCCAAUGUGGUGAAACCCUGUCUCUACUAAAAAUACAAAAAAUGACCCGGGCAUGGUUGUGGGCGCCUGUAAUCCCAGCUACCCAGGAGACCGAGGCAGGAGAAUCACUUGAACCCGGGAGGCAGAGGUUGCAGUCAGCCGAGAUUGUGCCAUUACACUCCAGCCUGGGCAACAAGAGCGAAACUCUGUUUCAAUAAAUAAAUAAAAAUGCAAAUUGUAUGCCCCUUCCUUCAGGCCUAUGGGACCAAAAACUGGGAUGGGGCCCAAUAAAAUGUUUUAACCAGCCCUUCGGUGGUUACAGAAGGAUAGAGCCAGAAUAGACUAACCACUGUAACAAACAUUACCUAUACUUGGGAGGCUUUGAAAAAUGUUUAUUUAGCCGGGUGCGGUGGCUCACGCCUGUAAUCCCAACACUUUGGGAGGCUGAGGCGGGCGGAUCACGAGGUCAGGAGAUUGAGACCAGCCUGGCUAACACAGUGAAACCCCGUCUCUACUAAAAAUACAAAAAAUUAGCCAGGUGUGGUGGCAGGUGCCUGUAGUCCCAGCUACUCUGGAGGCUGAGGCAGUAGAAUUUCUUGAACCCAGGAGGCGGGGCUUGCAGUAAGUCGAGAUCACGCCACUGCACUCCAGCCUGGGUGACAGAGUGAGACUCCAUCUCAAAAAAAAAAAAAAAGGAAAGAAAAAUGUUUAUUUUUUUGCUCAUGCCACAGUCUCUGGUAGUUGCUGGGAACUAGGGUGGGGGAUUCUCUGCUCCACACAGUCUUUCAUGGACCCAGGUUCCUUUCCUGUUGUGGGUCCAGCCUCCUGUAGCUGUUGGAGGCAUCUCUAGUCAGCUGGUGGUUGGGGAAGAGGUGAGGAUCAGGGAGGGAAGAUGGAGAGUACUCUGCUUGUUCUCACAUUCUGCUGGCCAGAACUCACAAGCCACCUGAAAUGAUGCAAAGGUCUAGCUGUGUGUGUAGGAGAAAGAAGAGAGGCCAGAUAUUGGAAGACAGCAGUGGUCUGUGCCCCAGGCCCCAUGGUUUAGGGAAGUGAACCUUGGCACUGGAUUUCCUGGCUUUCUAAAUCUCCCUUUAUAGGGAACUUAGGGCCCAGUCUGUGGUGGGUGGAUUUGCCUGGUUCACAGCCUCUGGUCAGCCUUCUUUCUGCUCCACAGGGCGGCCUGGAGAUGGUGGGCUCCUUGUCACACUGGUUGGGGAUGUGGGCUCCAUGGGGCCAGAGAUGUGUGUGCUCUGUGUUCAGAUUAAGGGACAGACGGCACAUGAAUUCCUUCAGUGCCCUCCAGAUUUGGUCACUGGGGAGGGGUAGGCUGAGCAGUAGCUCUUGGGUCUGUAGUAGUGUGACCCUGGAAGGACUGUCCAGCUGAAAACAAGAGCCUGGGGCGUGGGGAGGGGAGGGGUUACUCAGGGUUCCAUGAGACCUGGGUUUAAGUCCUGGAUCCAUCAUUAGCAGCUAUGUGAACUUAUGCCUCACUUUCCUCAAAUAUGAACUUGAGAUAAUGAAAUUACCUUCCUCAUAAUACUGUUCUAAGAAUUGAAUGAGGAAAGGUUUACAAUUCGGCCCUGGUUGUUCCACUGGGGAGGGAACAGAGAUUGGGGGCACAGGGCUCCCCUGGCCUGGGGGAGUCUGGCUCACUCAAGUUCUCAGUCAUUUGCAAGGCAAGGACCCUGCUUCUCCUUGCUCUGGGUCCGAGUAGUCUCAAGCCCAGUGGGCAGGGCCUGUGGUGUGGAUGGACUCGUCUGCAGUGAGUCAGGCAGCAGGCAGAGCUGGCAGGCUGUGUGGUCUCUAGUGGGUACCAGGGGACCUGGGAGGGCCUUGUGGGAGGUUGUCCACGGUGUGAGCCAGUUUGCCAUCUGGGGUCCUGGAGUUCCCUCCCGCCCUUUGAGUUAAAAAGAGUCAGUCCUGGGCUGAGACUUAAUUGCGCUAGUGCUGAGUGACCUUGUGUCAGGGGAAAUCGGAUGGGGCAAAGUGUUUUUUAAUUAGCAGGACUCACUGACCUUUCCUUCACUGUCAGCAACUUCUCACAGGGAGGCAGAGCAAGGGGGGCUGGAGCCCCGCAUCUCUCUAAUGGAGCCUAUGUCCAACAAGGAGGUGGAUGGCUGGAUUCAGGGCCCUGGGAGGACUUCAUGUGGGAAGCAGACCUCAGGAAGGGCCCUUAGUGAUGGUGUGGGCCAGGGUUCUCACCUCCUUAGUCUCCUGUCCUGUCCAUCUCCGCAGAUCCUAGGCAAAAGAAGCGGAGAAACACUCAAGCCACUGGGGUGGUUAGGGCACACUGGUGGCAACUGUUUAAAACCUUAACUAAAACAAGGUUAAGCAAAAGGAGUUUACAGGCUCUCAUAGAUGGGAAGGAUGUGGGAGGGUCACAGACUGAGAGGAACCAGGGCUGUGGCUGCUGGAAGGAGCCUCACCACCGCCAGUGUGUUUCCUCCCCGUCGUCGGCAUCUCUGCUUCUCUCUGCACGCCAGCAGCUCUCUCUUAGGGCACGCAGACCUUUCCUCUGCAGGGGAACACGAGUGCCGGCAGCCCCGAGUUAGUGACUAUCAUAGAAACUCAGUGUAUUUCUCUCUUGUUUAUCAUUCCGAGUCCUGAGUCACAGGCUUGUCCAGCACUCAAGACUUUUUCUUUUCUCUAUUUUUUGAAACGGAUUCUCGCUCUGUCCCCCAGGCUGGAGUGCAGUGGCCCGAUUUUGGGUGCAAGCGAUUCUCCUGCCUCAACCUCCCGAGUAGCUGGGACUACAGGUGUGCGCCACCACAUCCAGCUAAUUUUUGUAUUUUUAGUAGAGACGGAGUUUCACUAUGUUGGCCAGGCUGGUUUCAAACUCCUGACCUCCCGCCGGCCUCAGCCUCCCAAAGUGCUGGGAUUACAGGCAUGAGCCACCACGCCUGGCCAAGAUUUUUUCUUUUAAACCUGGAGUAUGGAGAUGCUCACUAGGCAGACAGAAUCAGCCACCACAGCCCACUCCCUCAGCCAGUAUUACUUUGACUAAGUUAGUGAGGAACCAGGCCCCAGAUUAAGAAGCAGAACUCACACUGUCAUCUGCUGUGUGCCUGGCUGGCUCAUGCAUACCUUGUCUAUCUAAUGUGGACCAAAGCCCUGUGGCACACCCUGCUGGUUACCCCCAGUGGUUACCCUGGCACAGAGGAGGAAAGGGAGUCGUGGGAGGGAGAAGGACUUCCCUGGGAGGUCUCUGGGCUGGCAAGUUGGGUGACACAGGUCCGGUUGGCUGCAAGCCUGGGCUCUGCUGUUGUAAUCAUAAAUGUGUGUGUGUGUACAGUUGUUUACAAUGUCAGCAUGGGUGUCCUUGUUUGUUAGAGAUACAUGCCACUGCUCCCAUCAUGAGGAAAAUCCCAAGCCCUCCCCAUGAUUUUUGCCAGUUUCUGGGGACUCAUGCUCCUGGCAGCCCAUGUGUCCCCAACUCCUGUGUCCUUUAGGGACCUCUGUUGAGCCCUGCCUCUAUUCUGGCAGAAUUAGAGAAAAUUCUUUAAAAAAACAAUAAAGUUUAAAUUCAUUUAAAAAAAUAAUAAAAAAUCUCACAGCAUGAGUUUUGAUGAGAUUUGGGGCAAGGUGGGCCACAACCUUGGGUUGUAUGGCCACCUCCCCCUCUUCUUCCCCUGUUGUCUCUGCAGCUCAGAAACCCCAAUUUCCUGGCCUGUGUUAUGUGGAGGAGCUGAGCUCACCCCCUACAGCUUCAUCUCCAAACCUAGCAAGGAUCCUGCCCAGAUCAGGAGAUCCUCCUUUUAACAGAAGUUAUUUACACUCCUUAGAAAGCAGUGGGGGUGGAACGAUUCUUUUUCCUGAUGCAGAGAUGUAAAACUGGGACAUUGCUACACAUAAUAUUUUAAACCUGUCUUCCCUCUUACCAACGAACACAUCACUAGCACCAUCUAUGCCAAUACAUUUCUCAACAUCAAUUUCAGUGGCUGUAUUACAUUUUAUCCUACGGAUGUGCUCUCAUUUAUAAUCUAAACCACUUUUAUUGAACACAUCAGUUAUUCUGAAAUUUUCAGUGUUAUGAUGGAUGUUGCAGUAAUUAUUCUUAUAUAUGCACAGAACCCCCAGAGGACAUGACUACUGAAGGCUGUGCUGGCAGGAUCACAGGGGAGACAAGGCAGAAACUACUCCAGACUCUCACCUGCUGUUGCUGAUCCUUACAUGGUGGCUGUGCCAGGCUCAGCCGCGCUGAGAUGACAGGGCUGUCUGGCCAUCAUUGGUCAUAUGGACUUCAGAUUUGAAAGGAUUUUAUGUAGAAGCAGAGUGCCUGAUAGGACUCUCCGGGACCCCCAUUUCUGCCCUGCUUGGCUCCCACUGGCAAGGCUGGCUCAGUUCCUGUCACCUUCUCCUGGACUUUGGCCAGAGUCCACUGGCUGUUUCCCCUGCCUCCUGCUCUCCCAGUGCCCUCUCCACACCAGUGCCAGAGCUGCUUCUAAGAGAUGCCUCAAAGCCCGCUUCCAGCUUAGGAACCCCAGGGAACAUGGAUGGUUUCUCCAUUGCCACUUCCUAGCCUUCCUGGCAUAGGAAGGUCUGGUUUGCCUGCAGGUCCCUCUCUGGGGGGGUCCCUGCUCCAUAGAUGCUGAGGCUCCAGAAGUCUGUUCUUUUAUAUCACAUUUGAAAACCUUUGAAAUGCAUUAUAGUUGAGUCAUAUGAAUUAUGUAAGUAUAUCCUACUCAUUGUAUAAAACAACACAGAAUUGUCUAAAGUGUCAUUUUUCUCCGCAUUCCAAGAAAAAGCUAAGAAGCAAUGCUAAACAAUUAGGCGUGUGAUCUUCUGUACUUUUCCCUUUGUCUCCACAAAAGUAAUCGGACAUACAGAAUUUUAAAAAUGGAUUACCCUGGGAAAGGCUCCUCCUCUCCCUCUCCCUCCUCUCCCUCUCCCUCCUCUCCCUCUCCCUCCUCUCCCUCUCCCUCCUCUCCCUCUCCCUCCUCUCCCUCUCCCUCCUCUCCCUCUCCCUCUCCCUCUCCCCACGGUCUCCCUCUCCCUCUCUUUCCACGGUCUCCCCCUGAUGCCGAGCCAAAGCUGGACUGUACUGCUGCCAUCUCGGCUCACUGCAACCUCCCUGCCUGAUUCUCCUGCCUCAGCCUGCCGAGUGCCUGCGAUUGCAGGCGCGCGCCGCCACGCCUGACUGGUUUUCGUAUUUUUUUGGUGGAGACGGGGUUUCGCUGUGUUGGCCGGGCUGGUCUCCAGCUCCUAACCGCGAGUGAUCCGCCAGCCUCAGCCUCCCGAGGUGCCGGGAUGGCAGACGGAGUCGUGUUCACUCAGUGCUCAAUGGUGCCCAGGCUGGAGUGCAGUGGCGUGAUCUCGGCUCGCUACAACCUCCACUUCCCAGCUGCCUGCCUUGGCCCCGCAAAGUGCCGAGAUUGCAGCCUCUGCCCGGCCGCCACCCCGUCUGGGAAGUGAGGAGCGUCUCUGCCUGGCCGCCCAUCGUCUGGGAUGUGAGGAGCCUCUCUGCCUGGCUGCCCAGUCUGGAAAGUGAGGAGCGUCUCUGCCCGGCCGCCAUCCCAUCUAGGAAGUGAGGAGCGUCUCUGCCAGGCCGCCCAUCUUCUGCGAUGUGGGGAGCGCCUCUGCCCUGCCGCCCCGUCUGGGAUGUGAGGAGCGUCUCUGCCCGGCUGCCCCGUCUGAGAAGUGAGGAGACCCUCUGCCUGGCAACCGCCCCGUCUGAGAAGUGAGGAGCCCCUCCGCCCAGCAGCCACACCCUCUGAGAAGUGAGGAGCCCCUCCGCCCGGCAGCCACUCCGUCUGGGAAGUGAGGAGCGUCUCCGCCUGGCAGCCACCCCGUCUGGGAGGGAGGUGGGGGUCAGCCCCCCGCCCGGCCAGCCGCCCUGUCCAGAAGGGAGGUGGGGGGGUUAGCCCCCCGCCCGGCCAGCCGCCCCAUCCAGGAGGGAGGUGGGGGGGGUCAUCCCUCUGCCCGGCCAGCUGCCCGUCCGGGAGGGAGGUGGGGGGGUCAGCCCCCCGCCCGGCCAGCCACCCCGUCCGGGAGGUGAGGGGCGCCUCUGCCCGGCCGCCCCUACUGGGAAGUGAGGAGCCCCUCUGCCCGGCCAGCCGCCCCGUCCAGGAAGGAUGUGGGGGGGUCAGCCCCGGGCCCGGCCAGCCGCCACAUCCGGGAGGUGAGGGGCGCCUCUGCCCGGCCGCCCCUACUGGGAAGAGAGGAGCCCCUCUGCCCGGCCAGCCGCCCCGUCCGGGAGGGAGGCGGGGAGGUCAGCCCCCCGCCCGGCCAGCCGCCCCGUCCAGGAGGGAGGCGGGGGGGUCAGCCCCCCGCCUGGCCAGCUGCCCCGUCCGGGAGGUGAGGGGCGCCUCUGCCUGGCCGCCCCUACUGGGACGUGAGGAGCCCCUCUGCCCGGCCAGCCGCCCCGUCCAGGAGGGAGGUGGGGGGGUCAGCCCCCCACCCGGCCAGCCGCCCCAUCCGGGAGGGAGGUGGGGGGGUCAGCCCCCCACCCGGCCAGCCGCCCCAUCCGGGAGGGAGGCGGGGAGGUCAGCCCCCCGCCCAGCCAGCCGCCCUGUCCGGGAGGGAGGCGGGGGGGUCAGCCCCCUGCCCGGCCAGCCGCCCCGUCCGGGAGGUGAGGGGCGCCUCUGCCCGGCCGCCCCUACUGGGAAGUGAGGAGCCCCUCUGCCCGGCCACCACCCCGUCUGGGAGGUGUACUCAACAGCUCAUUGAGAACGGGCCAUGAUGACAAUGGCGGUUUUGUGGAAUAGAAAGGGGGGAAAGGUGGGGAAAAGAUUGAGAAAUCGGAUGGUUGCCAUGUCUGUGUAGAAAGAGGUAGACAUGGGAGACUUUUCAUUUUGUUCUGUACUAAGAAAAAUUCUUCUGCCUUGGGAUCCUGUUGAUCUGUGACCUUACCCCCAACCCUGUGCUCUCUGAAACAUGUGCUAUGUCCACUCAGGGUUGAAUGGAUUAAGGGUGGUGCAAGAUGUGCUUUGUUAAACAGAUGCUUGAAGGCAGCAUGCUCAUUAAGAGUCAUCACCACUCCCUAAUCUCAAGUACCCAGGGACACAAACACUGCGGAAGGCUGCAGGGUCCUCUGCCUAGGAAAACCAGAGACCUUUGUUCACUUAUCUGCUGACCUUCCCUCCACUAUUGUCCUGUGACCCUGCCAAAUCCCCCUCUGCGAGAAACACCCAAGAAUGAUCAAUAAAAAAGAAAAAAAAUGGAUUACCCUGU